CCGAGCGGCGUUUAAAGUCCCUACAGAGCAGGUUUUGGCGUUCAGUGUCAUUAGGACGACGGCACAGGUGAAAACUUUUCACACGUACAGUGGCUGUUGUCCCACACGGACACCGCAUCGUCCCCCUCCUCCCAAACAGAUACCCAAUGGAUAUUAGGAGACAGGACAACAGGACAAGGAGACAACAGUUGCUUUAUUAUAUUCCCACAGCAGUAUUAACAGUAUAACGACAGCAACAUAGGAUUUGAAAGUGCAGAAAGGUAAACAAUUCAAACACAGCCAGACACCCAGCACUGCACAACAACCAACAUACAGUAGCACUUCAGAUGGUCCCUACUUUACUUUGGAA
This is a long non-coding RNA of Oreochromis niloticus (Nile tilapia), 349 nucleotides long. RefSeq lists it as uncharacterized. The record is from RefSeq and is a predicted model, not a curated record. The transcript is spliced from 2 exons. NCBI's taxonomy places the organism in Eukaryota, Metazoa, Chordata, Actinopteri, Cichliformes, Cichlidae.